This 2927-nucleotide ribosomal RNA is filed under the name Salmonella enterica subsp. enterica serovar Bareilly str. CFSAN000223. Its description in RNAcentral is "bacterial LSU rRNA". It matches the Rfam family "Bacterial large subunit ribosomal RNA". The record is from RNAcentral. Lineage: Bacteria; Pseudomonadati; Pseudomonadota; Gammaproteobacteria; Enterobacterales; Enterobacteriaceae.
GGGUUGUGAGGUUAAGCGACUAAGCGUACACGGUGGAUGCCCUGGCAGUCAGAGGCGAUGAAGGGCGUGCUAAUCUGCGAUAAGCGCCGGUAAGGUGAUAUGAACCGUUAUAACCGGCGAUACCCGAAUGGGGAAACCCAGUGUGAUUCGUCACACUAUCAUUAACUGAAUCCAUAGGUUAAUGAGGCGAACCGGGGGAACUGAAACAUCUAAGUACCCCGAGGAAAAGAAAUCAACCGAGAUUCCCCCAGUAGCGGCGAGCGAACGGGGAGGAGCCCAGAGCCUGAAUCAGCAUGUGUGUUAGUGGAAGCGUCUGGAAAGGCGCGCGAUACAGGGUGACAGCCCCGUACACAAAAGCGCAUGUGCUGUGAGCUCGAUGAGUAGGGCGGGACACGUGGUAUCCUGUCUGAAUAUGGGGGGACCAUCCUCCAAGGCUAAAUACUCCUGACUGACCGAUAGUGAACCAGUACCGUGAGGGAAAGGCGAAAAGAACCCCGGCGAGGGGAGUGAAAAAGAACCUGAAACCGUGUACGUACAAGCAGUGGGAGCACAGGUUUACCUGUGUGACUGCGUACCUUUUGUAUAAUGGGUCAGCGACUUAUAUUCUGUAGCAAGGUUAACCGUAUAGGGGAGCCGGAGGGAAACCGAGUCUUAACCGGGCGUUAAGUUGCAGGGUAUAGACCCGAAACCCGGUGAUCUAGCCAUGGGCAGGUUGAAGGUUGGGUAACACUAACUGGAGGACCGAACCGACUAAUGUUGAAAAAUUAGCGGAUGACCUGUGGCUGGGGGUGAAAGGCCAAUCAAACCGGGAGAUAGCUGGUUCUCCCCGAAAGCUAUUUAGGUAGCGCCUCGUGAAUUCAUCUCCGGGGGUAGAGCACUGUUUCGGCUAGGGGGCCAUCCCGGCUUACCAACCCGAUGCAAACUGCGAAUACCGGAGAAUGUUAUCACGGGAGACACACGGCGGGUGCUAACGUCCGUCGUGAAGAGGGAAACAACCCAGACCGCCAGCUAAGGUCCCAAAGUCAUGGUUAAGUGGGAAACGAUGUGGGAAGGCCCAGACAGCCAGGAUGUUGGCUUAGAAGCAGCCAUCAUUUAAAGAAAGCGUAAUAGCUCACUGGUCGAGUCGGCCUGCGCGGAAGAUGUAACGGGGCUAAACCAUGCACCGAAGCUGCGGCAGCGACGUUUAUGUGUUGUUGGGUAGGGGAGCGUUCUGUAAGCCUGCGAAGGUGGCCUGUGAGGGUUGCUGGAGGUAUCAGAAGUGCGAAUGCUGACAUAAGUAACGAUAAAGCGGGUGAAAAGCCCGCUCGCCGGAAGACCAAGGGUUCCUGUCCAACGUUAAUCGGGGCAGGGUGAGUCGACCCCUAAGGCGAGGCCGAAAGGCGUAGUCGAUGGGAAACGGGUUAAUAUUCCCGUACUUGGUGUUACUGCGAAGGGGGGACGGAGAAGGCUAUGUUGGCCGGGCGACGGUUGUCCCGGUUUAAGCGUGUAGGCUGGUUUUCCAGGCAAAUCCGGAAAAUCAAGGCUGAGGCGUGACGACGAGGCACUACGGUGCUGAAGCAACAAAUGCCCUGCUUCCAGGAAAAGCCUCUAAGCAUCAGGUAACAUCAAAUCGUACCCCAAACCGACACAGGUGGUCAGGUAGAGAAUACCAAGGCGCUUGAGAGAACUCGGGUGAAGGAACUAGGCAAAAUGGUGCCGUAACUUCGGGAGAAGGCACGCUGACACGUAGGUGAAGUGAUUUACUCAUGGAGCUGAAGUCAGUCGAAGAUACCAGCUGGCUGCAACUGUUUAUUAAAAACACAGCACUGUGCAAACACGAAAGUGGACGUAUACGGUGUGACGCCUGCCCGGUGCCGGAAGGUUAAUUGAUGGGGUCAGCGCAAGCGAAGCUCCUGAUCGAAGCCCCGGUAAACGGCGGCCGUAACUAUAACGGUCCUAAGGUAGCGAAAUUCCUUGUCGGGUAAGUUCCGACCUGCACGAAUGGCGUAAUGAUGGCCAGGCUGUCUCCACCCGAGACUCAGUGAAAUUGAACUCGCUGUGAAGAUGCAGUGUACCCGCGGCAAGACGGAAAGACCCCGUGAACCUUUACUAUAGCUUGACACUGAACAUUGAGCCUUGAUGUGUAGGAUAGGUGGGAGGCUUUGAAGCGUGGACGCCAGUCUGCGUGGAGCCGACCUUGAAAUACCACCCUUUAAUGUUUGAUGUUCUAACGUGGACCCGUAAUCCGGGUUGCGGACAGUGUCUGGUGGGUAGUUUGACUGGGGCGGUCUCCUCCUAAAGAGUAACGGAGGAGCACGAAGGUUGGCUAAUCCUGGUCGGACAUCAGGAGGUUAGUGCAAUGGCAUAAGCCAGCUUGACUGCGAGCGUGACGGCGCGAGCAGGUGCGAAAGCAGGUCAUAGUGAUCCGGUGGUUCUGAAUGGAAGGGCCAUCGCUCAACGGAUAAAAGGUACUCCGGGGAUAACAGGCUGAUACCGCCCAAGAGUUCAUAUCGACGGCGGUGUUUGGCACCUCGAUGUCGGCUCAUCACAUCCUGGGGCUGAAGUAGGUCCCAAGGGUAUGGCUGUUCGCCAUUUAAAGUGGUACGCGAGCUGGGUUUAGAACGUCGUGAGACAGUUCGGUCCCUAUCUGCCGUGGGCGCUGGAGAACUGAGGGGGGCUGCUCCUAGUACGAGAGGACCGGAGUGGACGCAUCACUGGUGUUCGGGUUGUCAUGCCAAUGGCACUGCCCGGUAGCUAAAUGCGGAAGAGAUAAGUGCUGAAAGCAUCUAAGCACGAAACUUGCCCCGAGAUGAGUUCUCCCUGAGACUUAGAGUCUCCUGAAGGAACGUUGAAGACGACGACGUUGAUAGGCCGGGUGUGUAAGCGCAGCGAUGCGUUGAGCUAACCGGUACUAAUGAACCGUGAGGCUUAACCUUACAACGCCGAAG